RNAcentral lists this ribosomal RNA (465 nucleotides) under Vreelandella stevensii. Its description in RNAcentral is "partial 16S ribosomal RNA". It matches the Rfam family "Bacterial small subunit ribosomal RNA", at positions 338 to 795 of the family's 1533-position model. The record is from RNAcentral. Lineage: Bacteria; Pseudomonadati; Pseudomonadota; Gammaproteobacteria; Oceanospirillales; Halomonadaceae.
CCUACGGGAGGCUGCAGUGGGGAAUAUUGGACAAUGGGCGAAAGCCUGAUCCAGCCAUGCCGCGUGUGUGAAGAAGGCCUUCGGGUUGUAAAGCACUUUCAGUGGGGAAGAAAGCCUUGGGGCUAAUACCCUCGAGGAAGGACAUCACCCACAGAAGAAGCACCGGCUAACUCCGUGCCAGCAGCCGCGGUAAUACGGAGGGUGCGAGCGUUAAUCGGAAUUACUGGGCGUAAAGCGCGCGUAGGCGGUCUGAUAAGCCGGUUGUGUAAGCCCCGGGCUCAACCUGGGAACGGCAUCCGGAACUGUCAGGCUAGAGUGCAGGAGAGGAAGGUAGAAUUCCCGGUGUAGCGGUGAAAUGCGUAGAGAUCGGGAGGAAUACCAGUGGCGAAGGCGGCCUUCUGGACUGACACUGACGCUGAGGCGCGAAAGCGUGGGUAGCAAACAGGAUUAGAUACCCGAGUAGUC